AGAGUUUGAUCCUGGCUCAGGACGAACGCUGGCGGCGUGCUUAACACAUGCAAGUGGAGCGACGAACCAGGGCUUGCCCUGGGGCAGAGCCGCGAACGGGUGAGUAACACGUGGGUAACCUGCCCCGAAGACCGGGACAACCCGAGGAAACUCGGGCUAAUACCGGAUGUGGUUGCUCUUCACAAGUAGAGCAAGCAAAGGGAGCUUCGGCCCCCGCUUCGGGAUGGGCCCGCGGCCCAUUAGCUUGUUGGUGAGGUAACGGCUCACCAAGGCGACGAUGGGUAGCUGGUCUGAGAGGACGAUCAGCCACACUGGGACUGAGACACGGCCCAGACUCCUACGGGAGGCAGCAGUGGGGAAUCUUGCGCAAUGGGCGACAGCCUGACGCAGCAACGCCGCGUGGGGGAAGAAGGCUUUCGGGUCGUAAACCGCUUUCAGCAGGGACGAAAUUGACGGUACCUGCAGAAGAAGGCCCGGCCAACUACGUGCCAGCAGCCGCGGUGAUACGUAGGGGUCUAGCGUUGUCCGGAAUUAUUGGGCGUAAAGAGCUCGUAGGCGGUUCGGCAAGUCGGAUGUGAAAUCUCCACGCUUAACGUGGAGGGGCCAUUCGAAACUGCCGUGACUCGAGUCCGGUAGGGGAGUUCGGAAUUCCCGGUGUAGCGGUGAAAUGCGCAGAUAUCGGGAGGAACACCAGUGGCGAAGGCGGAACUCUGGGCCGGAACUGACGCUGAGGAGCGAAAGCGUGGGGAGCGAACAGGAUUAGAUACCCUGGUAGUCCACGCCGUAAACGUUGGGCACUAGGUGUGGGGAACCUUCCACGUUCUCCGUGCCGCAGCUAACGCAUUAAGCGCCCCGCCUGGGGAGUACGGCCGCAAGGCUAAAACUCAAAUGAAUUGACGG
RNAcentral lists this ribosomal RNA (900 nucleotides) under uncultured bacterium. RNAcentral's name for it is "bacterial SSU rRNA". It matches the Rfam family "Bacterial small subunit ribosomal RNA", at positions 8 to 916 of the family's 1533-position model. The record is from RNAcentral.